This 505-nucleotide ribosomal RNA is filed under the name uncultured bacterium. RNAcentral's name for it is "partial 16S ribosomal RNA". It matches the Rfam family "Bacterial small subunit ribosomal RNA", at positions 28 to 507 of the family's 1533-position model. The record is from RNAcentral.
GACGAACGCUGGCGGCGUGCCUAAUACAUGCAAGUAGAACGCACAGUUUAUACCGUAGCUUGCUACACCAUAGACUGUGAGUUGCGAACGGGUGAGUAACGCGUAGGUAACCUGCCUGGUAGCGGGGGAUAACUAUUGGAAACGAUAGCUAAUACCGCAUAAUAUUGAUUAUUGCAUGAUAAUUGAUUGAAAGAUGCUAUUGCAUCACUACCAGAUGGACCUGCGUUGUAUUAGCUAGUAGGUGAGGUAACGGCUCACCUAGGCGACGAUACAUAGCCGACCUGAGAGGGUGAUCGGCCACACUGGGACUGAGACACGGCCCAGACUCCUACGGGAGGCAGCAGUAGGGAAUCUUCGGCAAGGGACGAAAGGCUGACCGAGCAACGCCGCGUGAGUGAAGAAGGGUUUCGGAUCGUAAAGCUCUGUUGUAAGAGAAGAACGGGUGUGAGAGUGGAAAGUUCACACUGUGACGGUAUCUUACCAGAAAGGGACGGCUAACUACGUG